GACGAACGCUGGCGGCGUGCCUAAUACAUGCAAGUCGAGCGAGCGGAACUAACAGAUUUACUUCGGUAAUGACGUUAGGAAAGCGAGCGGCGGAUGGGUGAGUGACACGUGGGGAACCUGCCCCAUAGUCUGGGAUACCACUUGGAAACAGGUGCUAAUACCGGAUAAGAAAGCAGAUCGCAUGAUCAGCUUUUAAAAGGCGGCGUAAGCUGUCGCUAUGGGAUGGCCCCGCGGUGCAUUAGCUAGUUGGUAAGGUAAAGGCUUACCAAGGCGAUGAUGCAUAGCCGAGUUGAGAGACUGAUAGGCCACAUUGGGACUGAGACACGGCCCAAACUACUACGGGAGGCAGCAGUAGGGAAUCUUCCACAAUGGACGCAAGUCUGAUGGAGCAACGCCGCGUGAGUGAAGAAGGUUUUCGGAUCGUAAAGCUCUGUUGUUGGUGAAGAAGGAUAGAGGUAGUAACUGGCCUUUAUUUGACGGUAAUCAACCAGAAAGUCACGGCUAACUACGUG
Molecule: ribosomal RNA, 512 nt
Filed under: uncultured bacterium
Lineage: Bacteria
Description: partial 16S ribosomal RNA
Rfam family: Bacterial small subunit ribosomal RNA
Source: RNAcentral